UCCGAGCCCAAAAUAAAACUAACGAAUAAAAAACUGAAGUUAAAAAAAAAAAAAAGUUAAGGUAGCCUUAAAAGUUGGGCAAUAUACCUAAACCAAACUAAAAGCUUUGCUGAUUGUUCCGUGUAGCCGUCUACCCCACUUCUCUUUUCUUAAGUCUCAAACUUUGCUAUUGUUGGUUGUUGUCUCCGGUCACCGCCAUUAAGAAUGGAAGACUUGGAGCAUAUCGUAAAAAGUGAUGAAGUCUUCUGCUCCACUGGAUUUAAUUUAGUACGGUAGAGUAUGCUCUUAAAUUCUGAAAUUUUGAUAGCAAGCAAUUUGCCCCCACUGCAAUUUUUGCAUGAGGUGGAGUGGCGCAAUUAAAACCUUAAAAACAAGGGUGCUGAUAUUUAAGAUGAAAAAGAGGUAAAUAGGGGAAACUCAACUUAGAGGCUAAGGAACAACUCUCGCACACACUAAGGACAACUUCAAGCCUGCAAAGAUGAUAAGAAGAAGAGAGCUAGAGUGCUCAGCAUAAACUCUUGGCAUCGAUUUUGGCUUAAGUAUGCAAGGAAUGAUGGUCAUGUUGCAACAUCAACAUCCAGCAUCGCGACACUGAACUUCGAAGCAUCGAGGGCUGAAAACAGAGUUAACGUCACAACGUGGGGAUCUUGGUGCCGUGACAUAAGCGUCGCUGAAAAGAUGAUGUCAGCGGCCAUAUGAUCAGAAUUGAAAGCUGUAAUUUGGUUAUUAAACAUUUAUUUUGCCCUAGGUUUUGCCUAUAUAUACACUAUUAUAAUCUCAUUAGGUCGGUUGUUGAUAGCUAGAUAAUUAAAUAUUUUUAUUUUUCUUUAUAAUUCAUUUAUGUUCGUCUAGUUAGGAUUCUUCCUGUUCCGAUGUGAAGGUGAUUGUGAGCGAGGGAUUGCUCUGGCACCGCACCUCAAUUAAUUAUCAAUGAGCAAUUUUUUUAUUUAUAUUUUAUUCUUUAACUUAUAUUUUGUUUCUCUAGCCAAUUAACAUUAGUAUGGAUAUUAGAAUAA
Gossypium arboreum is the source of this 1016-nucleotide long non-coding RNA. RefSeq lists it as uncharacterized. The record is from RefSeq and is a predicted model, not a curated record. The transcript is spliced from 3 exons. Lineage: Eukaryota; Viridiplantae; Streptophyta; Magnoliopsida; Malvales; Malvaceae.